CUCUAUAAUUGCCAGCUUGCCACUGCAACUUGGAUUCUCUUUUCCUUCUUCUUGUUCUUCAAGUGGCGACUUCAUUUUCUCUUUCGUUUCGCUUGAAACCGUAACCAACCACCUCAAUUCAGUUACGUAACUACUUUGUUUCCGUUAUGGCCGGUAUAACAGCUUCUAACGGCAAGCGCUCUCACUCUCACUCCGACUACGAAACCAACAACACCACCAGCAACAGCUACGGCGGAAACAAGCGCCGGAACCCUAGCGCCGCCGAGGACAGGGAUCAGCUACCUUCCGACGACACUGGCACUGUAUACCGCUACCUCUGCCCCGUUCGUAAGAUCGGCAGCGUCAUCGGCCGCGGCGGCGACAUCGUGAAGCAACUCAGGGCUGAAACGAAGGCGAAGAUUCGGAUCGGUGAGACCGUUCCGGGAUGCGAGGAGCGAGUGGUUAUGAUAUACAGUGUUUCAGAUGAGACGAAUGAGUUCGAGGAUAGCGGCGAUUUUGUGUCGCCGGCGCAGGAUGCGCUGUUUAGGGUUCACCAAAGAGUGCUCGCUGAAGACUUGCGCGGCGGCGGUGGCGAUGACGAAGAUGAUUAUUGCGGUGAUGAGGAUGAUAAAGAGAAGCACGUGACUGCUAGGCUCUUGGUGCCGUCGGAUCAGAUCGGUUGCGUCAUCGGAAAAGGGGGCCAGAUUGUUCAAAGCAUCAGGAGUGAGACCGGUGCGCAGAUUCGGAUCCUUAAGGACGAGCGGUUGCCUGGUUGCGCCUUGAGCAACGAUGAACUUGUGCAGAUAUCUGGAGAUGCUGUGGUGGUGAAGAAAGCUCUGUAUAAAGUUGCAUCCCAACUUCAUGAUAACCCGUCACGGUCUCAGCAUCUGCUUACUUCUGCUGCUCCUGGUGCUUAUGCAAAUAGUGCUUCACUCAUGGGUCCAACGGCAGGGAUUGUGGGAGUAGGUCCUCUUGUGGGUGCUUAUGGUGGAUAUAAGAGUGAUGCUGGAGACUGGUCACGGUCCAUGUAUUCAGCUCCAAGGGAUGAAGCUUCUUCAAAAGAAUUCUCAAUACGAUUUGUUUGUCCAACUGCUAACAUUGGAGGGGUGAUAGGAAAAGGUGGUGCUAUAAUAAAUCAAAUUAGGCAGGAGUCUGGGGCAACAAUCAAAGUUGAUAGUUCAGCAACUGAAGGAGAUGAAUGCUUAAUAACCAUUUCAACAAAAGAGUACUUUGAAGAUUCAUUCUCUCCAACAAUAGAUGCAGCUGUGCGUUUACAACCACGGUUCAGUGAGAAAGUUGAAAGAGAUUCAGGGGUGAUCUCUUUCACUACACGAUUUCUGGUGUCAGCUUCAAGGAUUGGUUGCCUUAUUGGUAAAGGUGGAUCAAUAAUAGCUGAAAUGAGGAGAUUUACAAAAGCUAACAUUCGCAUACUAUCAAAAGAAAAUCUUCCUAGAAUUGCAUCUAAAGAUGAUGAAAUGGUGAUGAUUUCUGGGGACCUUGAUAUUGCCAAGGAUGCUCUUAUACAUGUUCUUACACGGUUGAAAGCAAACCUUUUUGAUAAGGAGCGUGCUGUGCCUGCAUUCCCUCCAGCACUUACAUAUCUCCCUGUUUCAGCUGAUGCACCAGAUGGUUCUAGCUAUGACAGUAGAGAUGGUAAACCACACGGACGUGUCCAUUCAUUUUCAAGUGGGUAUGGAGGUGUAAGCGAUUUGCCUUCUGGGGACGCUUAUGGAAGCUAUGGAGGUUCACAGCGUGGUAACAGCAGUGCUUAUGGAGCAUAUGGAAAUUAUUCUUUGGGACGGAGUAGUGCAUCUGGGUUGUCUAAUCAGGGCAGUGCUUCUCGGAGGAGAAACCAUGGUUACUAAAAUUUGUCAGUCGAUGCAGGUGUUAAUCGAGUCAAAAACAAGUGAGGUUGCGCCGCAUCACUUGACUGAAAAUUCAUUUAGUUUUGAGUAUUUCGGAUGUGGUGAGUUGAAGGUACGGAAGGUGUUUCACAUACGCAGUGACUGUACUAAUGAAGCUCAAGAGACAUAAUAUACAUUUACUUUGACCAACUAAGGCAAUACAAUUUGCAGGGCGUAGCUUGCAUGGAUUUAGUGACACGGAGAAAUGGCCUAUGUUGCUUUUUUGUUCUGAUUUGUCAAAAUGGUGCUUGGUUGGUCUAUUUUUAAACUCUGCAUCUGGAGCAUCAUAUUCUUUUGGUUGAGCUUAUUUAGAAUUCAGCUGCAUUUUAGAGCUUAUUACACUAGGUUUCUUUUUAUUUUAGAAUUUCAUCCUGAAUGAGAGAGGUCAUUGGACACCCGCACAGGUUUAGUAUGCAAGCGUUGGCCAUUUUAGCUUGCAAGGUUGCAUGGUGUAACUCAGUUGCAGCAGCAAAUGCAAUGCACAGUUCUAAAAUGAAUUUUUUUAAAAUUUAAUGCAAAUACAAUGGGGAACUUGUGUGGUAACCGUUGAAAUAUUUUAUGCUUUUUCCUCGUCUUACGCAAUAAAGCAUGGAUCAUUGUGCUACUUGUACACAGCAAAUAUAUAGGACUUUAGCAAGAAAUUUGUGGAGAGUUCAUUCGAUCAGGGGAAUCAUUGUUGCGCAAUUUAACCAAAGCAUGUUAUAAAUAAAUAUGUAAUGCGUUGAACCUU
Arachis ipaensis is the source of this 2613-nucleotide RNA transcript. It is a transcript of the gene named RNA-binding KH domain-containing protein RCF3, with no coding region annotated. The record is from RefSeq and is a predicted model, not a curated record. NCBI's taxonomy places the organism in Eukaryota, Viridiplantae, Streptophyta, Magnoliopsida, Fabales, Fabaceae.